Panicum virgatum (switchgrass) is the source of this 687-nucleotide long non-coding RNA. RefSeq lists it as uncharacterized. The record is from RefSeq and is a predicted model, not a curated record. The transcript is spliced from 4 exons. NCBI's taxonomy places the organism in Eukaryota, Viridiplantae, Streptophyta, Magnoliopsida, Poales, Poaceae.
GCACCCCUCCAACCAUUUCGCAUUUUGUGUGUCCUCCCCCAUCUCUAUCUAGGUUAGCAUCUCCCUCCUCUCUAUCUCAUGCAUUCCCUCAUCAAUUCAUCGUUGUUGCCCUCAGAUCUGGUGAUUCCAUGCGGGGUGGGAAGUGCAGAUCAGGGAUCGAGAGGCAAGGGCACCCACGGAGGUGGAGAUGCGAGGUGAAUCCAAUUGGUGGAGGUGGAGCCGAUGCUCACAAAGGUUUUCUGCUAGAGGGAGAAUCCCAAAUCGAGGAGGGAGGAGGAGCUACUCACACGGUGGUGCAUGGCAGGACGCCCUCCGGCUGCUCCUAGUCUACGGGAACAUCCCCAAGUCUACUGUUGCAAAUGAUGCCCCGGAGCUACCGGCGUGCUGGCUAUCGGGGGGAUGCAUUCUGUUGGUGGGAGUGUACAUCCAGGAUCUCGCGUAGAUCGCCGACCGCUGCUACACCAUGACUGAUCACAGAUGUGGCCCUGAGGGAUGCCAUUUGGGCGGAAAGAAUGCCACCAUGCCCGAGUGUUCCUGAAAGGAGGGAUCCCGGUGAAGUUGGGGGCAUUGUUAUCGAGAUUUUAAUCUUUGUUUCCUAUAUUUUAUUCAUGCAUCCACGGUUUGCUCGUCUUGCUUCAAGACUACAGCAGCGAGUGCUGGGGAUGCUGCUGUGACAUUGCUUGUGAG